GCAGCGAUGGUCUAGCGGUCAAGAUGCUACACUAAUGUGUCUUGCAAACACAAGCAUGAAGGUGGCCUUCUCGAGGCCGUCCCCGGUCGGAGAGUGUCGGGUCACUGGAGCUGUAGAGGCGUGAGUUCGAAUCUCACUUGCUGCA
RNAcentral lists this transfer RNA (145 nucleotides) under Aureobasidium melanogenum CBS 110374. It matches the Rfam family "tRNA". Rfam says of the family: Transfer RNA (tRNA) molecules are approximately 80 nucleotides in length. Their secondary structure includes four short double-helical elements and three loops (D, anti-codon, and T loops). The record is from Rfam by way of RNAcentral. Lineage: Eukaryota; Fungi; Ascomycota; Dothideomycetes; Dothideales; Saccotheciaceae.